This 19-nucleotide transfer RNA is filed under the name Turnera serrata var. brevifolia. Its description in RNAcentral is "partial tRNA-Thr". Lineage: Eukaryota; Viridiplantae; Streptophyta; Magnoliopsida; Malpighiales; Passifloraceae. The record is from RNAcentral.
AACCUCUGAGCUAAAAGGG